UGCAAGUCGAGCGGUGAAGGGGAGCUUGCUCCCCGGAUCAGUGGCGAACGGGUGAGUAACACGUGGGCAACCUGCCCCUGACUUCGGGAUAACGCUUCGAAAGAGGUGCUAAUACCGAAUAUGAACGCGAAGGACAUCCUUUGCGUUGGAAAGUUUUUCGGUCAGGGAUGGGCCCGCGGCCUAUCAGCUAGUUGGUGAGGUAAUGGCUCACCAAGGCGACGACGGGUAGCCGGCCUGAGAGGGCGACCGGCCACACUGGGACUGAGACACGGCCCAGACUCC
Molecule: ribosomal RNA, 282 nt
Filed under: unidentified marine bacterioplankton
Lineage: Bacteria
Also listed under: 1 other name
Description: partial 16S ribosomal RNA
Rfam family: Bacterial small subunit ribosomal RNA
Source: RNAcentral